AUUGAACGCUGGCGGCAGGCUUAACACAUGCAAGUCGAGCGGGGUGAUGGUGCUUGCACUAUCACUUAGCGGCGGACGGGUGAGUAAUGCUUAGGAAUCUGCCUAUUAGUGGGGGACAACAUCUCGAAAGGGAUGCUAAUACCGCAUACGUCCUACGGGAGAAAGCAGGGGAUCACUUGUGACCUUGCGCUAAUAGAUGAGCCUAGGUCGGAUUAGCUAGUUGGUGGGGUAAAGGCCUACCAAGGCGACGAUCUGUAGCGGGUCUGAGAGGAUGAUCCGCCACACUGGGACUGAGACACGGCCCAGAAUCCUACGGGAGUCAGCAGUGGGGAAUAUUGGACAAUGGGGGGAACCCUGAUCCAGCCAUGCCGCGUGUGUGAAGAAGGCCUUAUGGUUGUAAAGCACUUUAAGCGAGGAGGAGGCUCUUUUGGUUAAUACCCAAGAUGAGUGGACGUUACUCGCAGAAUAAGCACCGGCUAACUCUGUGCCAGCCGCCGCAGUAA
This 503-nucleotide ribosomal RNA is filed under the name uncultured bacterium. RNAcentral's name for it is "partial 16S ribosomal RNA". It matches the Rfam family "Bacterial small subunit ribosomal RNA", at positions 30 to 523 of the family's 1533-position model. The record is from RNAcentral.